Molecule: ribosomal RNA, 540 nt
Filed under: Triticum aestivum (bread wheat)
Lineage: Eukaryota; Viridiplantae; Streptophyta; Magnoliopsida; Poales; Poaceae
Description: partial small subunit ribosomal RNA
Source: RNAcentral
AUGGCGAUAGAGAGGAGGAAGGUUGAUAGUGAGAGAAGAGAGGAGAUCGAGGAGAGCAAUGAUAUGGGCACAGAGGUGCUCCCGGCUGUUGACAGCAAGGGCAAGGAGUCGGUUCAUGCAAUGCCCGAGGUGGUGCUGCCACCCACCGCCGAGGAAGAACCAAAGAUGCCAACGGUUGGCGAUGACGAGCGCAUGGAGGAGCCCCCCAGCAGCAAGCGCCGCAACUACGACCACUACCAUGAGGAGGGUGGCCCAAGUCACUUCUGCAAGCUCAUCCUUGCACCAGAGCUAGAGUGCAUCCCCAUGCCCUUGGACUUCACCAAGCACUUCGUCACGGUGCCGAUGGAGUUCAAGCUGAGGAACAACAUUGGUUUCUCCUGGAGGGUGACUGUGAAGCUGAUGAACGGCAGGAUUGUCUACAUGGUGAUGUUCAAGCUCCUGACUCCCAACACCCUCAAGGUCAUCAUCUUCGACGACGAUGGCAUUGAGGUGGUCAACAAGUACGGGAAGCACAACGAAGACUUCGCCGCCAGGUACUAG